RNAcentral lists this ribosomal RNA (510 nucleotides) under uncultured archaeon. RNAcentral describes it as "bacterial SSU rRNA". It matches the Rfam family "Archaeal small subunit ribosomal RNA", at positions 474 to 983 of the family's 1478-position model. The record is from RNAcentral.
CACCGGCGGCCCGAGUGGUAACCGCUUUUAUUGGGUCUAAAGGGUCUGUAGCCGGCCAAGUAAGUCCCUUGGGAAAUCUGGCAGCUUAACUGUCAGGCUGCUAGGGGAUACUGCUAGGCUUGGGACCGGGAGAGGUGAGAGGUACCUUGGGGGUAGGGGUGAAAUCUUGUGAUCCUCGGGGGACCACCAGUGGCGAAGGCGUCUCACCAGAACGGGUCCGACGGUAAGGGACGAAAGCUAGGGGCACGAACCGGAUUAGAUACCCGGGUAGUCCUAGCCGUAAACGAUGCUCGCUAGGUGUCAGUCACGGUGCGACCGUGAUUGGUGCCGUAGGGAAGCCGUGAAGCGAGCCACCUGGGAAGUAUGGCCGCAAGGCUGAAACUUAAAGGAAUUGGCGGGGGAGCACUACAACGGGUGGAGCCUGCGGUUUAAUUGGAUUCAACGCCGGAAAUCUCACCGGGGGCGACAGCGAUAUGAAGGUCAGGCUGAAGACCUUACCCGAUUAGCUGA